UUNGCCCUAUGAAAAAAGCCUUCCUGGUCCAU
RNAcentral lists this non-coding RNA (32 nucleotides) under Mus musculus (house mouse). Lineage: Eukaryota; Metazoa; Chordata; Mammalia; Rodentia; Muridae. The record is from RNAcentral.